CCUACGGGGGGCAGCAGUGAGGAAUAUUGGUCAAUGGGCGCGAGCCUGAACCAGCCAAGUCGCGUGAAGGAUGACUGCCCUACGGGUUGUAAACUUCUUUUAUCAAGGAAUAAAGUGAGGCACGUGUGCCUUUUUGUAUUUACUUUAUGAAUAAGGAUCGGCUAACUCCGUGCCAGCAGCCGCGGUAAUCCUGAGGAUCCGAGCGUUAUCCGGAUUUAUUGGGUUUAAAGGGAGCGUAGAUGGGUUGUUAAGUCAGUUGUGAAAGUCUGCGUCUCAACCGUAAAAUUGCAAUGGAUACUGGCAGGCUUGAGUAUAGUUGAGGUAGGCGGAAUUCGUGGUGUAGCGGUGAAAUGCAUAGAUAUCACGAAGAACUCCGAUUGCGAAGGCAGCUUACUAAACUGCCACUGACAUUGAUGCUCGAAAGUGUGGGUAUCAAACAGGAUUAGAUACCCUGGUAGUC
RNAcentral lists this ribosomal RNA (460 nucleotides) under uncultured bacterium. RNAcentral describes it as "partial 16S ribosomal RNA". It matches the Rfam family "Bacterial small subunit ribosomal RNA", at positions 338 to 795 of the family's 1533-position model. The record is from RNAcentral.